Molecule: ribosomal RNA, 167 nt
Filed under: uncultured bacterium
Lineage: Bacteria
Description: partial 16S ribosomal RNA
Rfam family: Bacterial small subunit ribosomal RNA
Source: RNAcentral
UAGUAAUGGCAGGUCAGCAUACUGCCGUGAAUACGUUCCCGGGGCCUUGUACACACCGCCCGUCACACCAUGAGAGUUGGAAAUACCCGAAGCCUGUGAGCUAACCUUAUAGGAGGCAGCAGUCGAAGGUAGAGUCAAUGAUUGGGGUGAAGUCGUAACAAGGUACC